GACGGAGGGUGCUAGCGUUGUUCGGAAUCACUGGGCGUAAAGAGCGCGUAGGCGGCUUGCCAAGUUGGGUGUGAAAUCCCGGAGCUCAACUCCGGAACUGCCUUCAAAACUGGUAGGCUCGAGUCCGGAAGAGGGGCGUGGAAUUCCCGGUGUAGAGGUGAAAUUCGUAGAUAUUGGGAGGAACACCGGUGGCGAAGGCGGCGCUCUGGUCCGAUACUGACGCUGAUGCGCGAAAGCGUGGGGAGCAAACAUG
RNAcentral lists this ribosomal RNA (253 nucleotides) under uncultured bacterium. Its description in RNAcentral is "partial 16S ribosomal RNA". It matches the Rfam family "Bacterial small subunit ribosomal RNA", at positions 524 to 776 of the family's 1533-position model. The record is from RNAcentral.